CGCGGCCUAUCAGCUUGUUGGUGAGGUAACGGCUCACCAAGGCAUCGACGGGUAGCUGGUCUGAGGGGACGAUCAGCCACACUGGGACUGAGACACGGCCCAGACUCCUACGGGAGGCAGCAGUAGGGAAUCUUGCGCAAUGGGCGAAAGCCUGACGCAGCAACGCCGCGUGGGGGAUGAAGGCCUUCGGGUUGUAAACCCCUUUCAGCAGGGACGAAAAUGACGGUACCUGCAGAAGAAGGUCCGGCCAACUACGUGCCAGCAGCCGCGGUAAUACGUAGGGACCGAGCGUUGUCCGGAAUUAUUGGGCGUAAAGAGCUCGUAGGCGGUUCGGUAAGUCGGGUGUGAAAACUCAAGGCUCAACCUUGAGACGCCACCCGAUACUGCUGUGACUAGAGUCCGGUAGAGGAGUGUGGAAUUCCUGGUGUAGCGGUGAAAUGCGCAGAUAUCAGGAGGAACACCAGCGGCGAAGGCGGCACUCUGGGCCGGUACUGACGCUGAGGAGCGAAAGCAUGGGGAGCAAACAGGAUUAGAUACCCUGGUAGUCCAUGCCGUAAACGUUGGGCACUAGGUAUGGGGUCUUAUCAACGGAUUCCGUGCCGUAGCUAACGCAUUAAGUGCCCCGCCUGGGGAGUACGG
This 639-nucleotide ribosomal RNA is filed under the name uncultured bacterium. RNAcentral describes it as "bacterial SSU rRNA". It matches the Rfam family "Bacterial small subunit ribosomal RNA", at positions 232 to 885 of the family's 1533-position model. The record is from RNAcentral.